Molecule: ribosomal RNA, 253 nt
Filed under: uncultured bacterium
Lineage: Bacteria
Description: partial 16S ribosomal RNA
Rfam family: Bacterial small subunit ribosomal RNA
Source: RNAcentral
UACGUAGGGGGCUAGCGUUGUCCGGAUUUAUUGGGCGUAAAGAGCGUGUAGGCGGCCAGGUAGGUCUGCUGUGAAAACUCGAGGCUCAACCUCGAGACGUCGGCGGAAACCAUCUGGCUAGAGUCCGGAAGAGGAGAGUGGAAUUCCUGGUGUAGCGGUGAAAUGCGUAGAGAUGUGGAGGAACACCGAUGGCGAAGGCAGCCUCCUGGGCCAGCACUGACGCUCAUGCACGAAAGCGUGGGGAGCAAACAGG